CUACAAUGGGUGGUACAAUGGGUAGCAAGAGAGCAAUCUGGAGCUAAUCCUAAAAACCAUCCUCAGUUCAGAUUGCAGGCUGAAACCCGCCUGCAUGAAGCUGGAGUUGCUAGUAACUGCAGGUCAGCAUACUGCGGUGAAUACGUUCUCGGGCCUU
RNAcentral lists this ribosomal RNA (157 nucleotides) under uncultured Chloroflexota bacterium. RNAcentral describes it as "uncultured Chloroflexi bacterium partial 16S ribosomal RNA". It matches the Rfam family "Bacterial small subunit ribosomal RNA", at positions 1225 to 1382 of the family's 1533-position model. Lineage: Bacteria; Bacillati; Chloroflexota. The record is from RNAcentral.